This 2245-nucleotide long non-coding RNA is filed under the name Mus musculus (house mouse). RNAcentral describes it as "RIKEN cDNA 4930500H12 gene". Lineage: Eukaryota; Metazoa; Chordata; Mammalia; Rodentia; Muridae. The record is from RNAcentral.
AUUGGUGAAGGUGCAGCCUCAGUAGCUGUUGAAGGCCAGAUAGACUGAAGGAGUCAUGAAGAGAAACCGAGGCUCGGCAUCAUGAAUAAAUCCUAGGACAUUGGUAAAAGCACAGCCCAGUUGCAGUCAAAGAUCCCAGCAUUGUGGAGAUGCCAGUACCUUGGCAUGAUCACCAAGAGCAGCAGUGGCCAUAGAAUGGCGCCUACCCGAGCUUAGAGGACAAGCUGUGUGUGCUACAGAGGAGCUGGAGAAGUGGCCCAAGCCCCUUGUAGGAGGCCAGAAGAUGGUUAGUGAAUCCCAGGUUUGAUUUGAUGGAUAAAAUUCAAACACAGUGGAUCAAUGUCUCUGAUCUAGAGUCAUAAAAGGGGAACCUCCAGCCAUCAGGAAAAUAAAGGACACCUACCACAGACUCUUGGAUAUUCUAUAAUUGGUGGAAUUUACAAUCUCUCGAGCAGAGCAGUAGAAGAAAUCAACUCUGGUGCUAGGAAAUGCAUUUCCUUUUGCUGGUAGAUGAAUCAAUCAUAACUAUUUCCUACAAGGGGAGCAAAAAAAUGCAGACUACAACCCCCCCUCCCAUUAUUAAAAGUGGAAAGGAGAGAGCAUUGCAUUCUUCUGAAUUCAUCCAUUGUGACAAGAAUCCCCAAGAAAAACAACAUAAAGAUUCAUAGAUCCAGAAAUAUAUAAUCCUUGGUCAAUUGGCUUUGUUUUGGGGUCAGUGAAGAAAUACUCCAGGACAGUGGGACAUGAUAGAGGAAAGCUGCUCACCUCAUGGAAUACAGACAGACAGACAGACAGACAGAUGCACACACACACACACACACACACACACACACACAGACACAUGAACAUGGACAGGGACACGGACACCAGCACAAAGAGACAUACAAACAGAGACAACAGAAGCAGAUGGGAACAGGAUGGAGUUAAGGAUUUGCAUCUGCUCCUCCCAGUGACCUACCUCCUCGGAGUAAGGCUCUAGAUUCUACAGUGUCUAACUGACUCACUCAACUGUGAACUUCCACAAGUACUGACUCACUGAUAAGAUCAGAGUCCUCGGAAUUCAACCAUGCUCCAAAGCAUUACCUUAGAGUGGUCCUGUGGCCAAACUUUCAAUGUGUGAACCUUCGGAAGACUUUCUAGGUCUAAACUGCGUACUGCUUAGCUCUUACCUUGAAAGGCUUAACACUUCAUGUGACGACUGGCAAUUGACAUCAUCUUUAAGAAUGCACCUAUGGGUACACAAAUUCAGAAGGGUAGAAGAGAAUCUUAGACUGUCUGUGUCUGUAUAAGAAAAAGAAGAGAUGCAAGAUACAUCCAAAUGCAGGAGAAAGGCCAGUUAAGGACAAAAGGAAGGUGGCCCUGUGCAACCAGCAAGAAUCACUGAGGUUCUCCAUUCCCGAUUUCCAGCUAAGAGAACUGAGAGAAAAAGAAAGGCUUUGAAAAUAAAGAAAGCAGCAUAAGCCAGCAUGGUUGCCAACACUUGGAAUCCAUGUGAGAGAGCCCAAGGCAGGAAGAUCGAGAAUUGGAGGCCAGUUUGGGCUACAAAGCUGAACACUGUUGAAGAAGGAGGACGAGGUCUAUAAAAUGAACAUUUUGGUUUUUAUUCAUAAUUAAGAAAAUACCAUGGUGAGGCACUCGUAAUAGGUCACAUAAAAGUUGUAUGAUUUUGUUAUUGCCCUUAUGCAUGCUACCUAAGUGCAUGUCCACAGAAAUAUCAGUUAUAUCUGAAGAUUCACUUCACGUUAUUUGCGUCUUCAUUUUUUCUUAGAAUAUUGAAAAAAAGCGAAGACACAAGUUCCGCGUGAUGUUUGAAAGGUGAAACCAUUGGAGUCCUAGAGAACUGCCAUUUGGGAAUGAGCAGUGCAUGAUUUAUAAUACCCUGUAACAUCUGGAGGUUGAUUUGCAUAAGGGGUAAAAUGAUUUGCUUCUGAAAGGACUUGGAAAUGACUGAAAUUCACACCCAAGGGCAAUCUCCUUCAGCCCUACAUUGGUGGGCAGAAUUUACUUCUAGCAACUCAGGCUUCAUGUCCUGGAACUCUUUUUCCAGGAGUAUGCAGGCUGCUCCUCCACUUCAUCUUUUGGCAAACUCGGGGAGCGGUGUAGGAUCGCAAGAAAGGCACAGUGGCUACCGAAAUGGCUUGUUUUUUACCUCUAUUUUUCCCCCGAUAAUUAUCAAAGUUUGAUAAUAUGUGUGAUUAAUAAACAGUUCCAUCGUGCUCUGCAGAAUCAGAGAUGGAAAUGAACU